Molecule: transfer RNA, 77 nt
Filed under: Alphaproteobacteria bacterium
Lineage: Bacteria; Pseudomonadati; Pseudomonadota; Alphaproteobacteria
Description: tRNA-His
Rfam family: tRNA
About the family: Transfer RNA (tRNA) molecules are approximately 80 nucleotides in length. Their secondary structure includes four short double-helical elements and three loops (D, anti-codon, and T loops).
Source: RNAcentral
GUGGUAGUAGCUCAGUUGGUUAGAGCACCAGAUUGUGGAUCUGGGGGUCGGGGGUUCAAUUCCCCUCUACCACCCCA